Long non-coding RNA from Nycticebus coucang (slow loris), 3317 nucleotides. RefSeq lists it as uncharacterized. The record is from RefSeq and is a predicted model, not a curated record. The transcript is spliced from 3 exons. NCBI's taxonomy places the organism in Eukaryota, Metazoa, Chordata, Mammalia, Primates, Lorisidae.
CCGAGUGCUCGGCGUUCAAGCACCUGGGUAUUCGCGUGCCUAGGGAGUUGUUAGGUCCCAGAGGGCCGAGCAGAUCCUGGGGAGGCUUUCCCGCUUGGGUGGCGGGCAGAACCCUAGGGUGGCAGAACAAGGAGAGGCAGCGACGCUGAAUCCUUGGCGAGUCGUGUGCAAGGCGGAAAGCCUCUUAGUUUGCGAAUCAAGUUUCAGAAUAUUUUCCUAAAGGAUUUUGGAAAGUACUUUAAGUUUGCCACUAAAUCUUAAAACGCCACCAGGCUAAAUUUUAUUUGUUUUCUCUUAUUCAUAUCACCAUCGAUCAAUGGUUGUAUGCAUUGGUUGGUCCGGCAAGUAUUACUGUUCAGUCUAACAGACGUGGAAAACUCAGCCCUGACAGUUCUGGAGGCUGGGAAGUCUAAGACUGAGGGUUUGGCACCUGGUGGAGAGGCAACUUACCCUUGUCAUUCCUGAGACAUGGAUCCAUUCAUGAGGUCAUGACCUAAACAGUUCAGCAUUGGGCAUCAGGUUUCCAGCAUAUGAACUUUGGGGGACGCAUUCAAACCAUAGCAGGUACUUCCUAACCUUCUGGCACCAAUGCUCUAAGUUCAUCUGGAGUGUCUCCUGCCCCAGUCCUGGAAUCAGUCAUAUCUCCAAGAGUCCCUGUUUCCUUUUAUUGGAGAAUCAUAUUAGAAACCAAGACCUGGGGCUAGGUAUGUUCAGGACUCUUUGCAUUAAGGACAGUCUUUCCCAUUAGCUUCCACCCCGACACUCCCCCAGCAAACUGCUCCUUUUCUUUUUGCAACAAAGCUGUUUGGUUUUUUUUUGUUUGUUUGUUUGUUUUUGACAGCAGUAGCUGGUAAAUGUGCCCCCAAGUUCAUCCUCCUCUUUCCAUUGGAAUAAGAUUUUAGCUGAGCACAUGGGACCCCCAUAAUAAAAAGUUUGUUUCCCAACCUUCCAUGUAGCUAAACACGGCCAGUUAACUAAGUACUGGCAAAAGAGAGAUUCAUGAAGUAUCCAUCCAAGAAUCUUCAUUGAGAGAUUUCUUCCUUAAGAGACCACUUAUUUAUCUUCUGUAUUCAUCCCUUCCUCCAUGUUAAGAGUACCUGCAGACUGUCUUAGAGAGGGAGGACAUGCGUCCCCACACAGGAAUGGUGGCUCUGGGAGCAGAAUUCCCUCUCCAGUCUGGACCAUUUGGCUCUGUACUUUUGCAUGAGAGAGGUAAGCAGGUGUCAUUGGUUGCUGAAUGGACUCCUAAUAGCAUCUUGUUGGCUGCAGCUGGGUUGCAUGGCUAUGGCUGCCUAGGAGUUGGGGUCACCAUGAUGCAUUCUGCCCACACAAGAUCCACUCCUGGGGCUGGGCAUGCUGCCUGGCCAUAUCUGAGCAGAAGCAGAGUAGGUUACAAGGGGAAUGAAGGAUGGAUGGCUGUUGCACAGCAGCCAGUUUGUCUGCCAUGAAAAUCACUUGGAGAGGCAGGACUUGGGGAACCAGAGCUGACCAAAGGGAUAGCCUGUAUAUAAAUGUCAUUCCCAGGGCAGUUGGGGGUGGAGACCCACUUUACUGUUACAUGAGGCAAAACAUGAGUACAUCUGAUUUUUUUAAAGUCCACCAUACUUACAGAAAAGUCAUUUGUGGGAUUUCUGCUGUUUGGAAUACCCAUGAAGUUUUCUGAGUUUAGAAAGAUUGGCCUUAUGACAAGAUUUCUGACAGACGGUUGUCUUGAAUUCUCUGUGAGCUUGAUCAUCUCUAAUUCUUUCACUGUCAAUUGCUAGAAUUUAACUUCUAACUUAAACUUCUUAAUUUAAAAUUGUAUUUGUUACAUGUUUCCCAUUGUUAUAUAUAUUUAUAAUAUGAAAUGGAAAACAUAAGAAAAACAAAAAAGUCUCAUUCUUCUGUAGUUUUGUUUCCAUCCAGUUUUUUCUCUAUGUGGAAACCUUUGUUGUUGUGAUGGUGCUUUUUAUUUUUAGAUACAUUUUUAGAUAGCUUUUAGGCAGGUGUGAUCUGUCCUAUACAUGCUAUUUUGUAUCCCACUUUUUUCACUUAAUGCAGAAUACGUAAGUAGUUUUUCCCUUAUAGUUGCAAACAUAAUUUUGAGUAGCAAAAUAGUGUAUUUUUAAAAUUUUAACUUUUUCUAAUUUUUUAAAUGAAAAAUGUUUCUAACUCCAUUUGAUGCCCUCCACCAUGUUAUAACAUAGCGAGAAGGCCUUCAUCAAAGUUAGCCUCUCCAUGUUGGACUUCCCAGCCUUCAGAACUUUGAGCCAAGUUAUAUUGCUUAUUUAAAAAUAAAUUAAUAAAAGAAAAAGAUAGUCAUAAAAUGGAUCUAGAACUCUUGACAACUACUUGGCUGCUAGAGAAUGCGAUGGAUUUCUUUUUGCCCUGAGUGCUUGAGGCAAGAUGAGAGGGACCACGUAAAUGCCAAUGCUGACUUAAAUCUGGAGAAUGAAACUCACACACUUGGCAUGGAAUGACUGUUCCUUUAGCUCUUCUCACAGCAUUACUCUGCUUUGCUCACUUUGCAAAGGAAUAUUAUGGAUUACUGUUAGGGAAGAACUUCUAUUUAGGAAAAAGACCCAAAGGCCCUUACAUUAUAUGAGUCGGCACUUUGGGAGGCUGAGGCAGGAUUGCUUGAGCUCAGGAGUUCAAGACCAGCCUGGGAAAGAACAAGACCCCAUCUCUACUAAAAGUAGAAAAACUAGCCAGGCAUUGAGAUAAGCUCCUGUAGUCCCAGCUACUCAGGAGGCUGAGGCAAGAGGAUUGCUUGAACCCAGGAGUUUGAGGUUGCUGUGAGGUAGGCUGAUGCACAGCACUCUAGGCCUCACUGGUAGAAAAUAGACUUUUGAGACAUCAAAUUACACACACAAAAACGACAAAAAUAUACAAAUGGGGCUGUAUCAAACUAAAAAGCUUCUUUAGGGCGGCACCUGUGGCUCAGUCGGUAAGGCGCUGGCCCCAUAUACUGAGGGUGGCGGGUUCAAACCCGGCCCCAGCCGAACUGCAACAAAAAAAUAGCCAGGUGUUGUGGCGGGUGCCUGUAGUCCCAGCUACUCGGGAGGCUGAGGCAAGAGAAUCGCUUAAGCCCAGGAGUUGGUGGUUGCUGUGAGCUGUGUGAUGCCAUGGCACUCUACCGAGGGCCAUAAAGUGAGACUCUUGUCUCUACAAAAAAAAAAAAAACAACAACAAAAAAAGCUUCUUUACAGCAAAGGAAACGAGAAUAAAGAGACAACUUGUGGAAUGGGAGAAAAUAUUUGGAAACUAUUCGUUUGACAGGGGACUAACAUCCAGAAUAUACAAGGAACUCAACAGUAAAAAAUAAUCCCAUUUAAAAA